RNAcentral lists this ribosomal RNA (483 nucleotides) under uncultured bacterium. Its description in RNAcentral is "partial 16S ribosomal RNA". It matches the Rfam family "Bacterial small subunit ribosomal RNA", at positions 28 to 523 of the family's 1533-position model. The record is from RNAcentral.
GAUGAACGCUGGCGGCGUGCUUAACACAUGCAAGUCGAACGGUGAAGCAGGAGCUUGCUCUUGUGGAUCAGUGGCGAACGGGUGAGUAACACGUGAGCAACCUGCCCCUGACUCUGGGAUAAGCGCUGGAAACGGCGUCUAAUACUGGAUAUGUGAUGUGACCGCAUGGUCUGCAUCUGGAAAGAAUUUCGGUUGGGGAUGGGCUCGCGGCCUAUCAGCUUGUUGGUGAGGUAAUGGCUCACCAAGGCGUCGACGGGUAGCCGGCCUGAGAGGGGGACCGGCAAAACUGGACUGAGACACGGCCCAGACUCCUACGGGAGGCAGCAGUGGGGAAUAUUGCACAAUGGGCGGAAGCCUGAUGCAGCAACGCCGCGUGAGGGAUGACGGCCUUCGGGUUGUAAACCUCUUUUAGCAGGGAAGAAGCGAAAGUGACGGUACCUGCAGAAAAAGCACCGGCUAACUACGUGCCAGCCGCCGCCGUAA